Oreochromis niloticus (Nile tilapia) is the source of this 5365-nucleotide long non-coding RNA. RefSeq lists it as uncharacterized. The transcript has 2 exons. NCBI's taxonomy places the organism in Eukaryota, Metazoa, Chordata, Actinopteri, Cichliformes, Cichlidae. The record is from RefSeq and is a predicted model, not a curated record.
UAUAUAUGUAAAAAGCUGGGAAAUAUGAAUGGAUUUUGCAUACUGCAGUAAUAUUCAGCUCUACAACAGCUCUCUCUCAAGGACAAACUCUUUAAUGUGACAAAUAUUCAUAGUGUUCACUGACCUAAGCUGACUUCAACUCCAGCUACUACAUACUUCUGGAUUCAAUUUAAACACCUUGACUGGAACAGGUGAAAAGUAGUUCGCAACACUGCUGACCAAAGAGUUGAGCUGCUCAGCCAUGUCCAUCAUCCUGCAGUCAGACUGAUACAGAGCCGAGCUUCAACAGCAUGGAACAGCCCCCUGAUCUCAGGCCCAGUGAUACUGUCUACACCAGCAGUCAGUGUGGAGAGAUACUGAAAAGCCCACAGUGCAUUUGUAAUUUACCGCCUAUUUUACGCCAUCCUAAAUAAACUAAAGAGCCUUUUAUGUCCAACUGUGCUGUCCCUGAAACUAAUCACUUUAAAAUAAUUCACCCAUAUUUAGAAAUCCUUGAUGGAUUUAGCUCUGUGGGGAAUAUUUAAAGAGCUACGGUUUGUUUAUGUACUGAAAUCUUUUAUAAAAUGUGUGUUUAGACUUUGUGUCUUUUCAUUUGUAUGGGUCUACUGAUUCAUUAGACGUUUCCUUUUAUGUGAAUGACAGGAUCGUGUCCAGAUGCUCCUCCAACGCCAUUCCACAUGCAAAAGCCAUAUGACAAUAUAAUUUAACAUUACAAGGACAAUUUCAUUUACAUUUUGUACAAAUAUCAUUAGUAAUAUCUAGGUCUUGAAUUAAAAAAACGUGAUGUCAACAGAUAAAUGGUUGUGUAUUUGAUUUAAUGGUGCUUCCUUUAGUAAAGUGAAUGAUGUCAUGUGCAGCGUGACACCAUGUAAUUUGAUCAUUCCAAAGCUUAGAAAUGAACUACAUCUCCAGUCAAGCUUAAGUUCUGUGCCUACAGUUUAUUAGUGGAGACUUAAAAAAAACAACCACAAUUACUCUUAAUCUUAAAGUCCCCAACACAAUUAUAUGAGAGGAUGAAUAGGACUGGAAGGUGUUAACUGAGGUUUAAUGUACUUGUACUUUAUGUACUGUAAGUAUUUCUAUGACAUGUUGCUUUCUGCUUUUACUCCACUAUAUUUUAGAUACAAUUAUUGCACUUUGCAAUUCAUAUUAUUAAUUUUAAAGCUUUAGUCACUUACAGUGGUUUCAUAGUGUAGUAGCUGACACACCUGCAUAAUAAAAGAAAGCUUCCUGGUGCACGACCAAGAGGACACACAAAUCUGCGAGGGGUUAUGCCAGGAAGGACAACCAGCUUAAAAAUUUGUGCCAAAUCCAACACGUGGUGACCUCUUGUGAGCAAAUAAGUACUUCCUAUUUUGCAGAUAAACUGGAUCAUUAUAUUAAGUAAUUAAAAUGAUCAACAUCUGCAAUAUUAACAAAAAACACAGAAUAAUAAUACUGUACCAUGCAUAUAAUUAUGAAAAGCAUCUUUCCACAUAAUGAGUACUUUGAGUAAUUUAAAUAUAUCUGGAAUUCCUGAUUUAAUAAUCUUUAUUUAUUUGUAUUUUUUUUUCAUGUGGGCACACCUUGUUAUAUUCUUGGUCCCCUGGAAAUGCCCCGGUGAAUGAAUGACAGAAUUACAAGCUAAAGAAAAAAAGAAUGAGAAAAACGUAAUGUGUCAAUAAUGCUUCCUGCCUUUGUUGAGGGCACACAAGCACACCCAUGAAUGUGACUCAGAGAUACACAUAGUUAAAAGAAAGGCAGUCACGCUGAAUUUAUAAGGUUUUUUUUCAGGUUUGAGAUAUUUUUUUUCAUACUUAAAACAAUUUAACACUGAUAGUUAGUGUGUGUUAUUCACAGUAUCAUCUAAGGAAAUACAGCCCUGAAGCUUUGAUGUCAAGUCUUCAAGAUCCACUGUAAAUAUGUCUCCUAAGCACAUAAGUUGCACUAGUUAAUAUGACAUCCAAGUUAUAGUACCAACCACAGUGACACCUCUAAUAAAACCUUCAUCCGCAAAGUGUCUUUACAGGCAACACUUAUUAUAACAGGAGUUGUGUGUUUGUGCUUUUGAUUGGUUUGUCCAUCAGGAGUCCUAAAGGAGCCACAGUGGAGGAUCAUUAAUCUGACGUGCUUCUUGCUGUCACAGGCCAUAACUAAUGAGUCAUAUUUCCAAACAGGUUGCUGAGGCUUCUCCAUUUCAAAAUGCAAUGUUUGGAACACUUCUCCAUUUGUGCACCAGACUUUACCAACGUGUAAUUUGGUAACUUUACACACGUUCCAGAAAAGUCUUAGCAUUUUUCAGUGUGAAGCAGUCUGUUAAUCAGUCAAGCAGUGCUGUCCUAUUAGUUCCUAUGGGAAUUCGCAGCAUAUCAUUUACCCUCACCACUAACCCAAUCCAUCCUUUUUUGCAUAAAUGAGAUACAUGACUCCGGUUUGAAAUCACUCUGUGGUCACGGGGCUAUGGUUCUGUCUGAAAAUUCACACUCCAGACUGAAGUAUAGGAGUACAGGAAUGAGUUUAAAAGGUUAUUCUGCAACUUUAAAUUGGCCAUGGAGAAACCUGGUGGUCAGUGUGACACCAGAUAAUGGCAGUAUUAAUAAGGAAGAGGAGAAAUAUCUCCAUUGUUCUUUACAACCUACUGACUGUCUGCACUCCCGCAGAUAGGGCUCAAAGAGAACAAAGAGGAAAUACAAUAUGAGAUAUUCAUCCACAUCUGCCAAUAAUGGAAAAAAACAAAAAACAAAUUAUAAAUGAUAUUUUCUAACAUAAGGCCCUUUUGUUUAUUUAGGACUACAAUUGCAACUAAUUUCUAUUCAUUAAAUGCAGCUGCCCUGUCUGCACCUUUAACAAUUAAUCUUAAUGUUUUCAUUAAAAUGUCACUACAGUCAGCAAAGAAAGGAAGACUUGCGCUCCCUCCUGACUUCACUUACUCAUAAUCUGUCAGGAUUUUGAAGGGUUUAGUUGUGUUGUUUCAGAGUACGUUAGGCAGAUCCCAGGGGUUCAAGAAAUUAAAAAGCGAUGCUACAACAGGCCUGAAGGCUGUAGUGUUUUGUUUUUCUCUGCUGUAGGAGAACAGAGGAAAUCUGCUCACCACCCUAGGUGCAUGUUGUUUUGUUUUCUUCCUCUGGGUCAGUACAGUUCUUCAGAACCUGGAUGCUGUACACGCACUGCCCCAGCUGAAUGGAUGAUCUGGGGCUGUUCAUUCAUUAUCCAUGCUCUCUCUAGCUCAGAGAACAAAUUCUUUGGGGAACACCUGGAUUGGUGUCUUGGAAUAUCAAUACGGACUACAAAUUACUCAACGUUAACUUUGAAAAGUGCCUUCCAGCAAAGUUUGCAUCUCUUAGGCCCCCUGCUGCUUAUAGUACAUAAAAGAUGGAUGUUGCCAACAUGAUAUCAUUGCAUUGAUUUAUGCAAUACAGUGAAUCUUUGAUGAUACAAGACAACCUCUCCAUCUUCUAUGUCCACAUCUAAACACAGAAACCGAGUCUCUGCAAACAUCUACCCUGGAAGGAGUUUCUCUAAAACUCCUGUUCUCAAUGACCUUGUCAUGCAUUGUGAAUUACAACCCAAAAUGCAGACUCUAAAAAAACUGGCGGCCACUAUGCUAUCCUCCAGCCUCCUAGUUCUUACACAUAUGGUGUGAAUUUCAAAAACCUAUGUCGCCUCGUUCUCUAGUUGUCGCAUUCACAAAAUUUUAAGAAAACUUGACCUCUGACCUUAAUGUCAAGGUCAACAGAAUUUGAACUCAUCUCAGAUUUUUAGUACAUGCACUUAUGGUAUAACUUUAAAAAUUCUAGCUGCCUUCCUUCUUGAGUUGUCGUAUUCGCAAGAUUUUCAGAAUAGCAAGAAACAGAAAUGCAGAAGUAGUAGGGAAACAUGAGGAACACAUUAUAACGGAUACACAAAUAGUCUGACAAAGGGCGUUGGCAGGCCUAUAUAUACACACAGAUACAGUGAUGGCUAGACUUUUGACCAAUCAACGAUCUCCUUCACUGUAGACUUGUAGGCUAAUGACAUCUAAUAAAAACUGCAAAAAACAAGACACUAGAAAUAAAUGACAAUCAAAAUAAAACAGGACGCCACUAAACAGGGAAUCAAUAAGACUUGACAAGAAAGAGGAUGACAGAGGGAAGGCAAGACUAAUAAAUCAAAAUAUAAAGAAUCCAAUAACAAUAACUGUAAAUAUACUGACUGAAACUAGAAUCUAAAAUAUCAAGAAACCCAUAAUACUAGAAUAAAUACUGGUAUACACAGAACUUCAAGUAAACUAGACAUAAAUCAGAAAACUACAAACAGUAACCUAACUGAGGAAGCGGUACAAGGAAACAAUCCUGAAACCACAAACCUUCCUAUAUUUACAUUAACCAUGACCAACUUAAAAUGCUGUUUACAUAUCUACAAAAGGCCAAAACACAUGGAAAAGGCUGCAUUUGCCAAAAUACUCUUGCAGGUGUGGACAGGGUCUAAAACAGCCUUUCAUAAGACGCUAUAAUCAUGUUUAUUUCCGAUCUGAAAUAUGAUCAUUUUAACAUGAGAGUCUAUGGCUCCAAAGCCCCUAUAGGGCCCCAAAGACUUUUGCAGCCUGCCCCAAGUGGUCAUUCAAAGAACUACAGUUGUUGGCACUCAAGCAUUGGCUUCAUUUGUUUUACAGUCAAAUCUCUGCCCACCUUAAAUUAAAAGCUGUUAAUUCAUGAAGCUAAAGACGAGAUUUACUCAUUUUAGCAUAAAGAGUAGAAGCGGCUCUAACAUUUAUAAAACUUGGUAUUUAGCCAGCACCUAAAGUAUUCCUCAGGUAGAUCUCUCCGUGAAAACAGUGAUGCAAAAAAACCAAAACAAAUUCCAAACUGGAAAUAUACUUAAACAUUUAUUUUUAUAUUUUAAAGAAAGGUAUAAAAAAUGUGACCAAAUAAUGCAAAAAGUAACUCCCAACAGAAUUCAUACAGAAACACAAACUCAACAUUGGGGUAACCCUAACCCUACAGCUUUGAUGUUGUACAAUGAGUUUCACAGUUUGUUGACUCUAUUUGAGUUUAUUAGACUUUCCCAUUUGUUGUAUCAGUGCCAAAGUCUUGUGGCAACAAGUUCCAGUUUUAAGUCCUUUGGGAGGACACAGUAACCUUUGUGCUUUAUAGAAUUAUUAUUUUCUCAUUAACUUCAGUGUCAACAAUGCUGAAAGCCGUAUAAUGAGAAGCUUUUAAUCAAGUGUGUCGGAGGGAUGGUUUGUGUUUGCUCAUUCUUGUAGAAGCAGAAUUGAUUGAAAAGCUGUAAGAUGGCAUUUAGCUUCACUGGGAAUCAUCUAAAUUGCCAGGAAAAAGGUCACACAACAAAAAUAGCCUUUACUGAUAGGUAAAAUCAAUUAUAUUAAGGCAACAGCAACAUUGAGACA